CAGUAGCCACGGUAAUACGUAGGUGGCAAGCGUUGUCCGGAUUUAUUGGGCGUAAAGCGAGCGCAGGCGGUUUCUUAAGUCUGAUGUGAAAGCCCCCGGCUCAACCGGGGAGGGUCAUUGGAAACUGGGAGACUUGAGUGCAGAAGAGGAGAGUGGAAUUCCAUGUGUAGCGGUGAAAUGCGUAGAUAUAUGGAGGAACACCAGUGGCGAAGGCGGCUCUCUGGUCUGUAACUGACGCUGAGGCUCGAAAGCGUGGGGAGCGAACAGGAUUAGAUACCCGUGUAGUCCCUGUCUCUUAUAC
Molecule: ribosomal RNA, 301 nt
Filed under: uncultured bacterium
Lineage: Bacteria
Description: partial 16S ribosomal RNA
Rfam family: Bacterial small subunit ribosomal RNA
Source: RNAcentral